AGGUUACUGCUAUCGGUGUUCGCCUAAGCCAUGCGAAUCAUAUGUUCGUAAGAACAUGGCGUACUGCUCAGUAACACGUGGAUAACCUGCCCUUGGGUCCGGCAUAACCCCGGGAAACUGGGGAUAAUUCCGGAUAACGCACAUAUGCUGGAAUGCUUUAUGCGUAAAAUGGAUUCGUCUGCCCAAGGAUGGGUCUGCGGCCUAUCAGGUAGUAGUGGGUGUAAUGUACCUACUAGCCUACGACGGGUACGGGUUGUGAGAGCAAGAGCCCGGAGAUGGAUUCUGAGACAUGAAUCCAGGCCCUACGGGGCGCAGCAGGCGCGAAAACUUUACAAUGCGGGAAACCGUGAUAAGGGGACACCGAGUGCCAGCAUCCUAUGCUGGCUGUCCGGGUGUGUAAAAUACACCUGUUAGCAAGGGCCGGGCAAGACCGGUGCCAGCCGCCGCGGUAACACCGGCGGCCCGAGUGGUGAUCGUGAUUAUCGGGUCUAAAGGGUCCGUAGCCGGUUUGGUCAGUCCUCCGGGAAAUCUGACAGCUUAACUGUUAGGCUUUCGGAGGAUACUGCCAGACUUGGAACCGGGAGAGGUAAGAGGUACUACAGGGGUAGGAGUGAAAUCUUGUAAUCCCUGUGGGACCACCUGUGGCGAAGGCGUCUUACCAGAACGGGUUCGACGGUGAGGGACGAAAGCUGGGGGCACGAACCGGAUUAGAUACCCGGGUAGUCCCAGCCGUAAACGAUGCUCGCUAGGUGUCAGGCAUGGCGCGACCGUGUCUGGUGCCGCAGGGAAGCCGUGAAGCGAGCCACCUGGGAAGUACGGCCGCAAGGCUGAAACUUAA
RNAcentral lists this ribosomal RNA (838 nucleotides) under uncultured archaeon. RNAcentral's name for it is "bacterial SSU rRNA". It matches the Rfam family "Archaeal small subunit ribosomal RNA", at positions 21 to 859 of the family's 1478-position model. The record is from RNAcentral.